This 119-nucleotide ribosomal RNA is filed under the name Scolecobasidium fusiforme. Its description in RNAcentral is "partial large subunit ribosomal RNA". It matches the Rfam family "Eukaryotic large subunit ribosomal RNA", at positions 146 to 258 of the family's 3401-position model. Lineage: Eukaryota; Fungi; Ascomycota; Dothideomycetes; Venturiales; Sympoventuriaceae. The record is from RNAcentral.
UAAUUUGUAGAAGAUGCUUCGGGUGUGGUGCCGGUCUAAGUUCCUUGGAACAGGACGUCAUAGAGGGUGAGAAUCCCGUAUGUGACUGGUUGCCUUCGCUCAUGUGAAGCUCUUUCGAC